AUUGAACGCUGGCGGCAUGCCUUGCACAUGCAAGUCGAACGGCAGCGCGGGGGCAACCCUGGCGGCGAGUGGCGAACGGGUGAGUAGAAUAUCGGAACGUGCCCUAAAGUGGGGGAUAACGUAGCGAAAGUUACGCUAAUACCGCAUACGAUCUUAGGAUGAAAGCGGGGGAUUCGAAAGGACCUCGUGCUUUAGGAGUGGCCGAUAACCGAUUAGCUAGUUGGUGGGGUAAAGGCCUACCAAGGCGACGAUCGGUAGCUGGUCUGAGAGGACGACCAGCCACACUGGGACUGAGACACGGCCCAGACUCCUACGGGAGGCAGCAGUGGGGAAUUUUGGACAAUGGGGGCAACCCUGAUCCAGCAAUGCCGCGUGUGUGAAGAAGGCCU
This 389-nucleotide ribosomal RNA is filed under the name uncultured bacterium. RNAcentral describes it as "bacterial SSU rRNA". It matches the Rfam family "Bacterial small subunit ribosomal RNA", at positions 29 to 417 of the family's 1533-position model. The record is from RNAcentral.